GAUGAACGCUAGCGGCAGGCUUAACACAUGCAAGUCGAGGGGCAGCGCGAUGUAGCAAUACAUUGGCGGCGACCGGCGCACGGGUGCGUAACACGUAUGGAACCUGCCCUUUACUGGGGGAUAACCCGGAGAAAUCCGGACUAAUACCCCAUAACAGACGAGGCGGCAUCGCCUUGUCUUGAAAGCUCCGGCGGUAAAGGAUGGCCAUGCGCCCGAUUAGCUAGUUGGUGAGGUAAUGGCUCACCAAGGCGACGAUCGGUAGGGGGCCUGAGAGGGUUAUCCCCCACACUGGUACUGAGACACGGACCAGACUCCUACGGGAGGCAGCAGUGAGGAAUAUUGCGCAAUGGAGGCAACUCUGACGCAGCCAUGCCGCGCGCAGGAAGAAGGCGCUACGCGUUGUAAACUGCUUUUAUCCGGGAAGAAACCCCAGGACGUGUCCUGGGUUGACGGUACCGGAGGAAUAAGCACCGGCUAACUUCGUGCCAGCAGCCGCGGU
This 499-nucleotide ribosomal RNA is filed under the name uncultured bacterium. Its description in RNAcentral is "bacterial SSU rRNA". It matches the Rfam family "Bacterial small subunit ribosomal RNA", at positions 28 to 521 of the family's 1533-position model. The record is from RNAcentral.